AUGGAACUUGGAUGCUACCUCACAAAAACAUGUUAUGUGUCAUUAGGUAUGAAGACCAACGCGACCAAGCGGCUAAAGGACACCCCAAAGGAGGAGGAGAAGCACCCCAAGGCCUCGAAGAAGGAGAAGGAGCCGAAGAAGAUGAAAACAACACCUUCCAGGCAACCCCGUGCGCACGGGCCCUCCAGACCCCGUGCCCACGGGCCACCCAGAGAGCUACUGGAAACGAGACUCAUGACCCCGUGCGCACGGCCUCCAGACCCCGUGCGCACGGGCUCCCGCUGCUGUAGCACCCCAUGCGCACGGGCGUGUACCGUGCACAAGGGACUCCCGCGUGCACGUGCCCAACUUACCCCGUGCGCAUAG
This 366-nucleotide ribosomal RNA is filed under the name Triticum aestivum (bread wheat). RNAcentral's name for it is "partial small subunit ribosomal RNA". The record is from RNAcentral. Lineage: Eukaryota; Viridiplantae; Streptophyta; Magnoliopsida; Poales; Poaceae.